This 68-nucleotide microRNA precursor is filed under the name Bombyx mori (domestic silkworm). Its description in RNAcentral is "mir-2774 microRNA precursor family". It matches the Rfam family "mir-2774 microRNA precursor family". Lineage: Eukaryota; Metazoa; Arthropoda; Insecta; Lepidoptera; Bombycidae. The record is from Rfam by way of RNAcentral.
ACAACAUUCGGACCGUCAGUCUACCGAGCAAAUAUCACCCGCUCGGUGGAAGAUCUUUCCGCCGUCGU